GCCCCUACGGGAGGCAGCAGUGAGGAAUAUUGGUCAAUGGACGCAAGUCUGAACCAGCCAUGCCGCGUGCAGGAAGACGGCUCUAUGAGUUGUAAACUGCUUUUGUACGAGGGUAAACGCAGAUACGUGUAUCUGUCUGAAAGUAUCGUACGAAUAAGGAUCGGCUAACUCCGUGCCAGCAGCCGCGGUAAUACGGAGGAUGCGAGCGUUAUCCGGAUUUAUUGGGUUUAAAGGGUGCGUAGGCGGUCCGUUAAGUCAGCGGUAAAAUUGCGGGGCUCAACCCCGUCGAGCCGUUGAAACUGGCA
Molecule: ribosomal RNA, 305 nt
Filed under: uncultured bacterium
Lineage: Bacteria
Description: bacterial SSU rRNA
Rfam family: Bacterial small subunit ribosomal RNA
Source: RNAcentral